Zeugodacus cucurbitae (melon fly) is the source of this 3460-nucleotide RNA transcript. It is a transcript of the gene named serine-rich adhesin for platelets, with no coding region annotated. NCBI's taxonomy places the organism in Eukaryota, Metazoa, Arthropoda, Insecta, Diptera, Tephritidae. The record is from RefSeq and is a predicted model, not a curated record. The transcript is spliced from 12 exons.
CGCCCAGUCGCCAGUAACCAUAAUCUCCCAUCAGUGUUCAUUGCGGAUGUUGCGAGGAAAGAUCCCAAAAAUUUUAAUGUUUUCUUAAAUUAUUAAAUAGUGGAAGAAGUCAAACGUAUUUCAUUUAAAGUUUUACAAAAUGUCUCACAUUCAGUCCGUUAAACGCGUUACGCAUUUGCAAUUGUUCUUCCUAUGUUCACUAUUAUUUUGCUGGAUACAAAAUGUGAAUGGUAUAUAUGAAGCACGUCGCUACUCCGAUCGUUCGCGUAUAUCGUGUGAGAAUCCUGGAACGCUACCGAAUGGCUUUUCGGCGCCGAGACGUCGUAAUACGAUGUUAACACAUCAUUGCAACUUUGGUUUUAAGAUAUUCGGUGAUCGGCGAACGAAUUGCAAUCGUGGCAAAUGGAUUGGCAAUCGUCCAAUUUGUGCAACCAAUACAUGUUCAUUUCCAGCGAAGAAUCCAGAAAAUGGUAGAAUACAAUAUGUAGAUCAAUAUCAUGUCGGUGUCUACUGUUCGGAGGGUUAUGAAUUGGCUGGUAAUCGUUUUGCUUAUUGCAAUGGCACCGAUUGGGAUCGCCCGUUAGGCUUUUGCAGGUUACGCCCCGACAAAGUGAGACACGAAUGUGAUUUUGAGUCUGAUGAUAUUUGCGGCUGGGUCACAGACAUAGCGGACGGUUUCGGAUGGAAACGUACGAUGGCUACAAAUGUGUUCACCUCAUUUCAUACGGGGCCGCGUCACGAUCACACUACAAUGCGAGCCAGUGGCGGUCACUAUAUGCUGAUGGAAAGUUUUGGGCUCACAUCAACACCAGCCGCCCUCACAUCACCCAUUUAUGAACGUGCCAUAAGUCUGAAGACAGCGUGUUGCUUUCAAUUUCACUAUUUUAUGUAUGGCGCAGGUGUUGGCAAUUUAAGAGUCUACGUCAAACCGUUCACGAAAAUGUUAUCGGAUGUUAUUGACGACCAAGAAAACUUUUUGAAGUUCAAAAAGUCUGGUAAUCAGAAUAACAAUUGGAACGAGGCACAUUUUAGCAUCGACGAAAUGGAGGAAGAUUUUCAAAUCGUAUUCGUAGCAGACGGCGCUAAGAGUCAUUUGAGUGACAUAGCUAUAGACGACGUUAAGAUAAUGUUUGGUACCGAAUGUAAAUCGUUGGAUAAUCAUGAUGAUGAAGCCGAUGACUCUGCUGAAUAUGAGCCUACAACUACAGAACAAUCUCUCUACGAUACUUUAUCGUGUGUAUCGCGGUGCGGCGAAGAGGCGAAUAUUGGUAUAAUGCGUAAUUCCACACAUUUGAUAGGUCUAUGUAGUUGUCACGAUAGCUGUAUAGUUGACGAUAAUUGCUGUCCGGACUAUACGAAAGUCUGUCUCGAUGCUCCGGAGUCUACCACCGUAAUACCGGACAUUGUUACAACAACGAUUAGAAGGGACACGAAAUCGACAUCAACAACGUCGAAAGAAAUUAUAAUAAAACCACCAACAACUACGACAACAACGACCAAAAAGGCCACAACAACAAGCACAAGUACAACAACAAUACGUUCAACUCCAAUAACAAGCACGAGUAAGCCAACAACAACCUCAACCACAACCUCAACCACAACCACAACCGCCAAACCCAAAGUAAGCUCUACUAUACUCACAACCCCGUCAACAACAAAAACAACAACAACUACAACAACGACUACAAUACGUACAAUACCCACAACAAUAACAACGUCUACAAAAAGUUCAACUGCUACGACCAAAAUCAUACCUCCAACUCAAACUUACACCGUACACCACACACAGCCGAUCUUGAAUGUGACCACCGCCGCAACCAUUGAGCGCAAAACAACCGCAGACGUUAUCACGAAUUUACCAACCAAUGGGACUGACACACAAUCCUUCGUAGAGAUCGGUGGCAAAUAUUAUUUAAUAAACACUGCUGUCAAGAUGAAUUGGUUCGCAGCUUCGCUCUAUUGUCGCAAUUUUGAUAGUGAUUUGGCCGUUAUCAAGUCGCAAGAGGAGAUGGAUGCAUUGACUUUUUAUUUAACGAAUAAAGGUCAUAUUGAUAAACGCUUUUGGCUUGGCCUUAGCGAUUUGGCGGAUGAGGGCAAAUUUAUAUCAAACAUCGACGGAUUUCCAAUGCCCUACUCUAAAUGGUCAAGCGGUCAACCGGAUAACAAUGAGAACCAUGAGAAUUGCGUUCAUCUUUGGACCAUUAAUAAUGUAUUCCAUAUGAAUGACAACAGAUGCGAGUUAAUGGCUUAUGUCAUUUGUGAGUUGCGAAAACGGAGCAAGAGUUGUGACAUGUGCGAUUUAAUACAAAUUCUGAGUCGAGGCAAGCUUGUCUUCGCUGAGUAAUUUGCAGACUUGAGUUGUCUAAACUAAAUGACAAACAUUAAGACUCCAAGAGAAAAAAUGACGAUUAUUGGGAAGAGAAGAUAAUUGUGAUGGGUCAAGUUACACACUCACCUUCGCCUGCCAGAGCCGAUGUCACGACGAUAGCCGCAGUUUAACGGGUUCGCCGUUACCGAUGAUUUUGUUGCAAAUUGGUCAUUGCUGCACGUUGCACACAUUAUUGGUUGCCCGUUAACGCGUUGCAAGCGUUCAUUGCACUUUGGCUUUGUUGCACACGCCACGCUUCGCCGUUUGUGUGGCACGUAAUUUGUGUUAGCCUACAUUUCGAUUCUGAGAACUGAGAUACGUAAUACAACAGUGGCUUCGUCUUUAUGGUUUCAUGUGAGUCAUCAACAGUUGAGUCAUCAAUAUGUGACAUAAGAUUGGUUGUCACUUAUUGCAGCACUACAAAGCUGUUCAAGAUGAAGAGUUUAAGCGCUGAAAGAAAGAAUUCUUACAUUCAUUGGAGCUGAGAAUUACUUUAAACAACGCUGUCAAAAACGUAAACGUGUUAUCUGCGAUGCAAUGAGAUCAACCACCAUACACAAUAAACAAUCCUAUUAACCAUGGCGAGUAAAACAUCAUAUAUGCACCAGUCGGUUUACAUAAAGUUAAUAGAAAGCGCAGUCACACCAUAUACAGCUUUUUAACCUUUGAAUUUUGGGAUGCAUAAAUCGUUAAAUAACAAUAAUAUUAAUAUUGAGUACAGGUUUGACAUAAUAUAACACCGAAAAGUAAAAAAAAAAAUAAGCGAAUUUGUCAAACUAUAUUUCUCACUUUAUUUAUAUGAUCAAAUUAUCUUUUCUGUUUUUUUUUUUUAUUCACCAAUAUAAUGAAUCUUAAAUUUCUAUAAGCCCUGCAUUUGUCAAACAAACUUAAGGCGCCUGAAAAAAUAGAAGGCUAAACAACUAGCAGUUGGAUAAACGCCAAUAAUGAUUUUAUCCCAAGGAUCGUAAAGAACUUGUAAAAGAAUUCUAGUAGAUGAUCUCCUUAGAAAAAUAAUAGUUAAACGAAGUUUGAAAAAUAAAAAUUAAUUUAUUUAAUAAUAAUUAAUAUUAUAUUAUUCUGAUCGAUUAAAAA